CAUAGAGAUGUAUCAAAAGUUGCAGGGUUCUGAAGAUGGCUUGAAAGAAAAAAAUGAAAUAAUUGCCCGACUAGAAGAAAAAACCAAUAAAAUUACUGCAGCCAUGAGGCAGCUGGAACAAAGGUACAGCAUUUCCAGUCUUAGUUUCUUUUUUUCUUUUCUUCUUCCCUUUUUCUUUAUUCAGUUCCUACACCUGCCACAAAAACCAUUAGGAAGACAUAGAUUAGGACAUGUUUUUUGUUUAAGCCCAGCAGGAUUUUGCGUUUUUGCUUUGGUUGUUGCAUGGAAUCAAGUUGCUUUAUAUUACGCUGAUUCAUUUGAAGUUGUCAUAUUGUAGAUUUUUCUUAGAGGCCUAAUAUCAGCAGUUUCAUGUCGUUCAGUUACAUAAAACAAAUACACAAAUUAAAAUGUC
RNAcentral lists this small RNA (412 nucleotides) under Pan troglodytes (chimpanzee). Its description in RNAcentral is "processed transcript". The record is from RNAcentral. Lineage: Eukaryota; Metazoa; Chordata; Mammalia; Primates; Hominidae.